Molecule: ribosomal RNA, 440 nt
Filed under: uncultured bacterium
Lineage: Bacteria
Description: bacterial SSU rRNA
Rfam family: Bacterial small subunit ribosomal RNA
Source: RNAcentral
CCUACGGGAGGCAGCAGUAGGGAAUCUUGCACAAUGGGCGCAAGCCUGAUGCAGCGAUGCCGCGUGAGGGAUGAAGGCCUUCGGGUUGUAAACCUCUUUCGCUAGGGAAGAAGCCACGGGUCACCGUGGUGACGGUACCUAGAGAAGAAGCCCCGGCUAACUACGUGCCAGCAGCCGCGGUAAAACGUAGGGGGCAAGCGUUGCCCGGAUUCACUGGGCGUAAAGCGGGUGUAGGCGGUUCUCUAAGUCGGAUGUGAAAUCCAGCGGCUCAACCGCUGAAUUGCAUCCGAUACUGGGGAACUUGAGGACGGUAGAGGUUGGUGGAAUUCCCGGUGUACCGGUGAAAUGGGCAGAUAUCGGGAGGAACACCAGUGGCGAAGGCGGCCAACUGGGCCGAUCCUGACGCUGAGACCCGAAAGCCAGGGUAGCGAACCGGAUUA